GAUGAACGCUGGCGGCGUGCUUAACACAUGCAAGUCGAACGGAGUUAUCAUUUUUGAAGCGAUUAGCUUGCUAAGAGUGGAAAAGUUGAUAACUUAGUGGCGGACGGGUGAGUAACGCGUGGGUAACCUGCCUUACACAGGGGGAUAACACUUAGAAAUAGGUGCUAAUACCGCAUAAGCGCACAGUCCCGCAUGGGACAGAGUGAAAAACAUUAGUGGUGUAAGAUGGACCCGCGUCUGAGUAGCUGGUUGGCGGGGUAACGGCCCACCAAGGCGACGAUCAGUAGCCGGCCUGAGAGGGUGGACGGCCACAUUGGGACUGAGACACGGCCCAA
Molecule: ribosomal RNA, 335 nt
Filed under: uncultured bacterium
Lineage: Bacteria
Description: bacterial SSU rRNA
Rfam family: Bacterial small subunit ribosomal RNA
Source: RNAcentral